AGGAGGGAGGUGCGGGGAGGAGGAUGGAGCGAGGAGGAGGAAAUAAAUAAAUAAAACAAUCACCUCCGCGCCAAUAAGAGCGAGGGAGAGAGAAAGACGCGGCCAGAGAGCCCCCGGUGCCUGUUGGCUCGCCUCUGAGAGGUUCUCCUUGCGCGCGCGUGUGUGUGCGUGAGUGUGUAUUUGCUGGGACUGGAGCUGGAAAGUUCAAACUAAACGUGUUGCUCUCGCCGGCUCCCGAGGCCGCGGCGGAGGCUGCCCAACUUCUCCGGGCCAAGCGACCGGCGGGUGCCCAGCGCCCUUGGCGCGGCGGCUGUGGCCGCUCGGCCCUGCGCCCAGGCGCGGCGGCGGCGGCUCCGCUCAGCCCGGGAGGGAGCCCGCGGCCAGGCUGGACUCUCGCCCCGCCACCUCCAGCGACGCUCUCCACUCCGCCUCCGCGCCUGGCGACCGCAGAAAGACCUGAAUGCAGCGAUCAUGUAAAUUAGACAAAGGAGAUAAAAGUAACCUCUGGAUAUUCUUCUUGUGCAAUAUUUAUUCUGGAUGAAGCAUUAAGAUCACUAAGAGAGGUGUAUCACUGCAAUUUGCUGCCAGAGGUGUGUUUUUCUUCCAAAAGGCAAUAAGUUCAAGCUCUUCUGGUGGAUAUAGAUUUUUGCUGCAAGGAAGUAACAGCCAAGAGCUGCUUCCUAAGGAGAGCUGCCUCCUAAAAGCCUAAGUGGCCACGAUUCUCCAACUUGGCAGAGCCAGGGGGUCUGGGCACAGUGCACUGAGCUCGUGGACAGCUGGCCUACCUGGAGGUCGGGAACAGCUUCCCGGGAAGAUGCAGCAAUGGUAGAAAGAUGGCUCUGCUGAGAUGAGCUCUUAAUUAAUGCACUGAGAGCUUAUGAGUCCCACCUCUCAACAGGAAUGAUUGACGUCCAAGGAUACAUAAAUUACACUAAUUGAGCCCUGCCUCUAUGUAGGCUCUCCACAGCCAACUCAUCAGAGAAGCUAGGUCUUUGAUAUCGUAGGAGAUCUUUCUCCCUCCCCCCACCCCUCACGUCUGGCUAUUCUCCAAAAAUUACUUGUCAGUGGAAAUUUGCUCACACAGUGAAAUAAAAACCCUAAGCUGAUAAAGGAAAAGGGAGAAAUCACUUGCCAAGCUGAAUGCCUUAAUAUGAUGCUAUGAGUCAAGAGAUCCAGGUUUGUGUCUUGACUAUCCUACUUAAUGGAUGAGAAGUACAUCUGACACUUGCAGAAUGUUCUUUGAGGAGAGGCAGUCAUUUUCAAUGCACUUAUAAAUGUCUUAAUGAGAAUGCUGAGUCGUUGUUUCCCAUUUCUCCAGAAAACUCAAAAAAGACUUAAAUGAGAUCAAAAGAGAGUGCUGAUUGACUAAAGAGAGAUGCCCAACUCAUUGGACUAAAUCCAUAAAGAAGAGUUGUGCUGCCACUUCAAAUGCCUUGUUUUCCUGGCCUGUCAGUCACAAACCAUUUUAAAUAUGGGCCUAAUCACCAGUAUUCCAGGGGGCUUCCCAAGUAAGGGAGUCGGGAGGCAGGAAGGCUCGGAUUCACAGCAAGUGUGUAUCUGGACUCAUAGGCGCCAACUGGCAUACAAGCAGCCUCCAGCUG
This 1601-nucleotide long non-coding RNA is filed under the name Equus asinus (donkey). Its description in RNAcentral is "lncRNA (ENSEASG00005034708.1)". The record is from RNAcentral. Lineage: Eukaryota; Metazoa; Chordata; Mammalia; Perissodactyla; Equidae.